CCCUCGAUGGUGUAGUUGGAUAUCACGUUCGGCUGUAAAACGCAUGUGCAGUCGCCGGCUCGAUUCCGGCUCGAGGGA
Molecule: transfer RNA, 78 nt
Filed under: Endocarpon pusillum
Lineage: Eukaryota; Fungi; Ascomycota; Eurotiomycetes; Verrucariales; Verrucariaceae
Description: tRNA-Tyr (GTA) (tRNA-Tyr-GTA-1-1)
Rfam family: tRNA
About the family: Transfer RNA (tRNA) molecules are approximately 80 nucleotides in length. Their secondary structure includes four short double-helical elements and three loops (D, anti-codon, and T loops). Further hydrogen bonds mediate the characteristic L-shaped molecular structure. tRNAs have two regions of fundamental functional importance: the anti-codon, which is responsible for specific mRNA codon recognition, and the 3' end, to which the tRNAs corresponding amino acid is attached (by aminoacyl-tRNA synthetases). tRNAs cope with the degeneracy of the genetic code in two manners: having more than one tRNA (with a specific anti-codon) for a particular amino acid; and 'wobble' base-pairing, i.e. permitting non-standard base-pairing at the 3rd anti-codon position.
Source: RNAcentral